AGAGUUUGAUCAUGGCUCAGGAUGAACGCUGGCGGCGUGCUUAACACAUGCAAGUCGAACGGACAUGUCUUUCGGGAUAUGUUAGUGGCAGACGGGUGCGUAACACGUAGGUGACCUGCCCUGGAGUGGGGAAUAACUAUCCUAACGGAUAGCUAAUACCGCAUAUGCUCGGUGAUUCAUUUUGCCGAGUAAAGUCGAAAGGCGCUUCAGGAUGGGCCUGCGGCGGAUUAGGUAGUUGGUGGGGUAACGGCCUACCAAGCCGAUGAUCCGUAGGGGGCGUGAGAGCGUGGCCCCCCACACUGGCACUGAGAUACGGGCCAGACUCCUACGGGAGGCAGCAGUGAGGAAUAUUGCGCAAUGGGCGAAAGCCUGACGCAGCAACGCCGCGUGAGGGACGAAGGCCUUCGGGUCGUAAACCUCUUUUCUGGGGAAAGAGCAAGGACGGUACCUCAGGAAUAAGUCUCGGCUAACUACGUGCCAGCAGCCGCGGUAAAACGUAGGAGGCGAGCGUUAUCCGGAUUUACUGGGCGUAAAGCGCACGCAGGCGGCUUCGUUAGUCGGGUGUGAAAAGCUCCUAGCUUAACUGGGAGAGGCCAUUCGAUACUGCGAGGCUUGAGGUUGGGAGAGGGGUGUGGAAUUCCCGGUGUAGUGGUGGAAUGCGUAGAUAUCGGGAGGAACACCUGUGGCGAAAGCGGCACCCUGGCCCACACCUGACGCUGAGGUGCGAAAGCGUGGGGAGUAAACAGGAUUAGAUACCCUGGUAAUCCACGCUGUAAACGAUGUCAACUAGGUGUCGGUAGCUUUACGCUAUCGGUGCCGAAGCAAAUCNAGGUAAGUUGACCGCCUGGGGACUACGGCCGCAAGGCUGAAACUCAAAUGAAUUGACGG
Molecule: ribosomal RNA, 888 nt
Filed under: uncultured bacterium
Lineage: Bacteria
Description: bacterial SSU rRNA
Rfam family: Bacterial small subunit ribosomal RNA
Source: RNAcentral